Amphimedon queenslandica is the source of this 46-nucleotide non-coding RNA. Lineage: Eukaryota; Metazoa; Porifera; Demospongiae; Haplosclerida; Niphatidae. The record is from Rfam.
AAACAGGCUUUUUUUAAAGCCACCUAUGAAACAAGAGGCUUAACCU